Molecule: non-coding RNA, 1358 nt
Organism: Theobroma umbraticum
Lineage: Eukaryota; Viridiplantae; Streptophyta; Magnoliopsida; Malvales; Malvaceae
Source: RefSeq, a predicted model, not a curated record
AUUAUAUGAUAUGAUGUAUCUUAGUUUUUUUUUUUUUUUCUUAUUUCUCAUUUAUUGCAGUCUGCUCACACAUUAAGACAGAAGGUAGACGAUUUAUGGCUCCAAAAUUCCCUCACUCUCCUCCUCAAUAUACGGCAAAAGAAAGGAAAAUAAUUUCUGAAUUGUAUUGAUUUAAGUCAUUGGUUUGGCAGCUUUCUUUGCUCUUCUUUGUAGGGUUGCUUUCUAGUUCUCCUUGAGGGCAAACCCAUUAAGGUGGGGGAGACUACCUAAUCCAUAAGAGUGAAAUUUUUACCUACAUCGUUAGGUAACUUCCAAAUUGAAAUCCUUCAUCCUGUUUAUCAUACUUCAAUCUCUCUUGGCCUAAGGGCUAAAUAGUUUUUGACAGCCUAAAUACCCUGAAAUUCAAAUGCUUUGAAUGCAAGCAAAACAGGAGAAUAGCCAGCUGUAAACAAAACAAAAGACAAAGGCAGGACACCGCACGCAAGAUUUUGCCCUCGUAGAUAGCAACACCCAGAAGGCCGAAAACCUACCUGCCUCUUCUGCAGAAACUGAUGGAAGCAGACACUACGGUGGUAGCAUUUUCUUUUGGAUCUCCCACCGUCUAGGCCUUGUUUUCAAAGUCUUCUCCCACCAGCCACCAUACCACCAAAGAUUCUUCAAUCUCUGUCAUUUCAUAUAUAUGGUCAAUCAUUUCAGGCCCACGAGGCUACUAGCAACUUGGAUUGUUUUAUAAAAGGUCGCUGAAAGCUAAUCCACUUUUUCCCACUCUUAUGAAGCUUAUAUGAAAGGGAUUUCAGUAUCAAACAUUAUCUCUUGUUUGACAACUGAAAUUGGCUGUAAGAUUUUCAAACCGCAAAAAACACGUUCGAUGCAUCUUUGUCGAACCGGCAGGCUUGAAAUACAUGAGUUAUCACAUCAACAUGAUGCACAUCUCCACAUUAGGCCAGGAUCUGAUCCAAUCUCUUAUAGCUUGCCAAACUUUCUUGCCAUGCCAUGCUUUUUUGUUGGUCCAAUGCCGUUGCUCAUUGGCAUUAUCAUAUUGGCUAAAUAUCUCUCUUACUUGUCCCAGGAUGAUCUUUGUUUUAUUCCCAACUCUUUUAAGACUCUUAAUAGUCAGUGCACCACCUCAUUUGGUAUACGCAAGCAAUGAAUGUGAUGUUCAAUUUGCAGUUGAAGAUAGAAGAAGAAGAAGAAGAAGAAGAAGAGGGAGAGAUUGAUCACAUUAGGCGAUGUAAAUUAUCAUCUUUAUUUAAUUUUAUUUUAAUUUGAUUGAAACAUGCAAUGAUUAUAUUCAGAAUUAAAUUUGUCAAAUUUAUCCUGUUUAUUGAAAAAUAAAUUUGAUGAUUGUUUUAAGCUAA